Molecule: non-coding RNA, 87 nt
Organism: Populus trichocarpa (black cottonwood)
Lineage: Eukaryota; Viridiplantae; Streptophyta; Magnoliopsida; Malpighiales; Salicaceae
Source: Rfam
UAGAAGUCGAGCUCAAGCACAAAUUCGAUCUUGCUUAACAAGGUACCGGCAAAGUCAGAUCGAAUUUGGGCUUGAGAUUGUCUUCUU